This is a long non-coding RNA of Xenia sp. Carnegie-2017, 1231 nucleotides long. RefSeq lists it as uncharacterized. The transcript has 3 exons. NCBI's taxonomy places the organism in Eukaryota, Metazoa, Cnidaria, Anthozoa, Malacalcyonacea, Xeniidae. The record is from RefSeq and is a predicted model, not a curated record.
GAUUCACAAGGUAUUUCGUCCGCCAUAUUGAUUAUUUAUUUUAUGACGUCACGCGCGCAAUAUUUGAAUAUUGAAAAUUAUGUUUUUUAAAUACAAGAUACACGUGUAAACAAGGUUUUUGCUUUGCAGAACAAUAUUAUCAUCAUUUCUCAUCUUCGUAAACUUAUGAAAAAUUAAAGAUUGAAAUCUUUGGAACUCGGGACAAACGUAUGACUUUUGACUGGAGUUGUUCGCUUCUGUAUUUGUAAGAGGAAGGAAACUUGGAAGGAAGCUUGGGCUUUGUUUUAAGCUACCAAAGAAGUUUUAAGCCUAGAUCGUUAACAAAAAUUUAUAGGAAUGCCUUAGCUGUAGAGAGAACAAUAUAAAUGGAUUUCUUCAACCAAACCUCGUUCAACAUUUUGAAAUCUCGAGCUCCAAAGUGAUACACUGGUCGGAGAUAAGGAAACACUGGUAGUUCAUAUCCAGGUUUUCUUCCAAUCUUGGAAACCCUAAAUGCUUCUUUUAAUCUUUCUCCGACGUAUUUAUUGUUGUCCCAGAAGUCGUCCAUAAGAUAGAUAGAGGGAAACAAUGCAUUAGUGCUGUUGUAUAACCAAGUUAAUCGGUUGUUCCAUUUCUUGUUCUUGGAAAUAAAAUAAUAAUAUCCUGACAUUAUGGACGAUAUUUUAUUUUUGUGAAUAUUCUUUAGACAGCGCAAUUUAAUGAAUAUUGAUAUAGUUCAUUCUCUUUCAAACCCAGCCGUUUCUCUGUAAGCAUGAAAAUUUAUGGUUUUUAUGCAUGCACAGGCAGGAGUGUAGUUAUUUCAUUAAUUUCUCGUACCAGCUCGGUGCAGUUUCCAUGACAAUCUGGAAAUCCAUAAAAACCCCAUAGUGCCUUUGGCCUUAGCUUUUGUCCUAAUUUAAUGGUUUCUACAAUGAGAUGACGACCCGCUUGCUCAAAUUGUCUUUUUGCCUCGGCGUGUAACGUGCUAAUAUUUCUUACUCGGCCAUCCAUCUUCACCAAGGCAAUCGACUCCGUAACGUACAAAUGUUUUUUUCCAAAGUUUGUCUCCCAUAUUGGUCUCCAACCUUCCCAGUCGAUGACCGCGAGGCCGCUGUACAUUGGCACUGGAAUUUUAUCAACGAUAUGUUGCGAUGCUUUCUGAAGAUGCUGUGUGAUGUUUGUGAGCUAAAUAUGUGGAAAUGUAGAUGUUGUGGUUGCAAAUUUUUAUAAAAAUAAAAGGAAGUAAAUGAAA